CCCGAUUUGCAGCUUUCCCAAUUUGCGCUUACAGCUGUUCUUCCUCAUUAAUAUUUACAUUAGGUGGUUUAUAACAUAUCCCAACCAAUAAUUGAUUUCCCUUUGUUUGCCCCAAGCAGAUAUCUACCCAUCAAGCUUUCACAUUUUCCUUGUCACACUUCACAUGCCUAAGAUUUUACUUUAACUCAUGGCUGACAUACAAACAU
Molecule: non-coding RNA, 206 nt
Organism: Pelobates cultripes (western spadefoot toad)
Lineage: Eukaryota; Metazoa; Chordata; Amphibia; Anura; Pelobatidae
Source: the annotation of a GenBank genome assembly